Molecule: ribosomal RNA, 443 nt
Filed under: uncultured bacterium
Lineage: Bacteria
Description: partial 16S ribosomal RNA
Rfam family: Bacterial small subunit ribosomal RNA
Source: RNAcentral
CCUACGGGGAGCAGCAGUGGGGAAUAUUGGGCAAUGGGCGCAAGCCUGACCCAGCAACGCCGCGUGAAGGAAGAAGGCUUUCGGGUUGUAAACUUCUUUUCUCAGGGACGAAGCAAGUGACGGUACCUGAGGAAUAAGCCACGGCUAACUACGUGCCAGCAGCCGCGGUAAUACGUAGGUGGCAAGCGUUAUCCGGAUUUACUGGGUGUAAAGGGCGUGUAGGCGGGACUGCAAGUCAGAUGUGAAAACCACGGGCUCAACCUGUGGCCUGCAUUUGAAACUGUAGUUCUUGAGUACUGGAGAGGCAGACGGAAUUCCUAGUGUAGCGGUGAAAUGCGUAGAUAUUAGGAGGAACACCAGUGGCGAAGGCGGGUUGCUAGACUGUAACUGACACUGAGGCACGAAAGCGUGGGGAGCAAACAGGAUUAGAUACCCUAGUAGUC